GGCCCUCAACACUAUCUUCCCUGGACACAAGUCUGGGGACAGCCGGCUGUUGUGGACCCCAAAGGGGUGACUCCCGGCUCCUGGGCCCCACAGAGAGUCCAUGUUCUCAGUGCAGUGGCUGAGCUGGAGGACGCCCUGGAACUCGGAGCACGCAGCACUGGCUUGCUGUGGUACCUGUGCAAUCAAAUUGAAGGCAGGAUCCCAGGAAGGAAGGCAGGGCUUGCAGGAUCACGGAAAACCUUCUUAGAGUUGUCUUGACACCACUGAUGUCAAGUGUCCGGGUGCUUGUAGGAUGGCCUGCCACUCAGUCCACGGGCAGGAGCAACGGGGAGAUCCCACAAGCAAAGUGAACUGGGGGAUGGGCUGAACGGGCUCCAGGCAACUGAGCCCUACUGGCAGGUCCUCGGCCUGGGCCCGAACAGGAAGGAGGGGCACAGAGUGCCCAGGUAACCGCUCCUGGGAGCAGUGGGGAACCGUCGGUUGCUUGAACUCUCGAGAGCUGGGCUCUGAGCGUCCUCGUCCAGCCGCCAACUCGGCCAACGGCUAAGCCAGCAGUUUCUUCUGUUGCCGGGCAACGCGCCUUUUAAACCUGAGGGAGCGGGCGCGUGAGCACAUCACGGCGCCCGUGACAGAGCGAGCUUAACGGAUUAAUAAGCGCAGCCAGUGUUCUUGGGGAAGAUCCCGACUUAGCCAUUUUCCAGUGGCACCUCUUCCACCAUGAGUUCCUGAGGCAGUCCGAUGGGGCUACUUUAUUCCAGAACAAUCACAGUGUGGUGUCAGCACAGCGGCAGGUCACCGUUCAGGAAGGACCCUUGUACCGCACGGAGGGCUCCCACAUCACUAUCUGGUGCAAUGUGAGUGGCUACCAGGGACCUUCUGAACAGAAUUUCCAGUGGUCCAUUUACCUGCCUUCGUCGCCAGAGCGAGAGGUGCAGAUCGUCAGCACCAUGGACUCUUCCUUCCCCUAUGCCAUCUACACCCAGCGCGUCCGCGGAGGGAAGAUCUUCAUAGAAAGAGUCCAGGGGAACCCAACCCUAUUGCACAUCACAGAUCUUCAGGCCCGGGAUGCCGGGGAAUAUGAAUGCCACACACCCAGCACCGAGAAGCAAUACUUUGGGAGUUAACAGUGCAAAGAUGAACCUAGUGGCUGUUUCCACCAAAUCCUCCUGUCUUUCGUGGCCAACACCCCAGGCAAGGCUUGGGGCCCCCGUCUGCUGCUGGACGCAGAGCCAUGAAGAAGAAGUUAGUGGUGCUGGGCCUGCUGGCCGUGGUCCUGGUGCUGGUCAUUGUCGGCCUCUGUCUCUGGCUGCCCUCGGCCUCCAAGGAACCUGACAACCAUGUGUACACCAGGGCUGCCAUGGCCGCGGAUGCCAAGCAGUGCUUGGAGAUUGGGAGGAAAAGCUGAGGUCAUCAAUGCCCGCGAGGUGGCCCCCAGGCUGGCCUUUGCCAGCAUGUUCAACAGCUCGGAGCAGUCCCAGAAGGGAGGGCUGUCGGUGGCGGUGCCUGGGGAGAUCCGAGGCUAUGAGCUGGCACACCAGCGGCAUGGGCGGCUGCCCUGGGCUCGCCUCUUCCAGCCCAGCAUCCAGCUGGCCCGCCAGGGCUUCCCUGUGGGCAAGGGCUUGGCGGCAGUCCUGGAAAACAAGCGGACUGUCAUCGAGCAGCAGCCUGUCUUGUGGGGGCAUUGUGACAGCUGAGGACCUGAACAACUACCGUGCUGAGCUGAUCGAGCACCCGCUGAACAUCAGCCUGGGAGACGCGGUGCUGUACAUGCCCAGUGCGCGGCUCAGCGGGCCCGUGCUGGCCCUCAUCCUCAACAUCCUCAAAGGGUACAACUUCUCCCGGGAGAGCGUGGAGACCCCCGAGCAGAAGGGCCUGACGUACCACCGCAUCGUAGAGGCUUUCCGGUUUGCCUACGCCAAGAGGACCCUGCUUGGGGACCCCAAGUUUGUGGAUGUGACUGAGGUGGUCCGCAACAUGACCUCUGAGUUCUUCGCUGCCCAGCUCCGGUCCCAGAUCUCUGACCACACCACUCACCCGAUCUCCUACUACAAGCCCGAGUUCUACACGCCGGAUGACGGGGGCACUGCUCACCUGUCUGUCGUCGCAGAGGACGGCAGUGCUGUGUCCGCCACCAGCACCAUCAACCUCUACUUUGGCUCCAAGGUCUGCUCCCCGGUCAGUGGGAUCCUGUUCAAUAAUGAAUGGACGACUUCAGCUCUCCCAGCAUUCACCAAUGAGUUUGGGGCACCCCCCUCACCUGCCAAUUUCAUCCAGCCAGGGAAGCAGCCGCUCUUGUCCAUGUGCCUGACGAUCAUGGUGGGCCAGGACGGCCAGGUCCGGAUGGUGGUGGGAGCUGCUGGGGGCACGCAGAUCACCACAGACACUGCACUGGCCAUCAUCUACAACCUCUGGUUCGGCUAUGACGUGAAGAGGGCCGUGGAGGAGCCCCGGCUGCACAACAAGCUUCUGCCCAACGUCACGACAGUGGAGAGAAACAUUGACCAGGCAGUGACUGCAGCCCUGGAGACCCGGCACCAUCACACCCAGAUCGCGUCCACCUUCAUCGCUGUGGUGCAAGCCAUCGUCCGCACGGCUGGUGGCUGGGCAGCUGCCUCGGACUCCAGGAAAGGCGGGGAACCUGCUGGCUACUGA
Molecule: long non-coding RNA, 2652 nt
Organism: Homo sapiens (human)
Lineage: Eukaryota; Metazoa; Chordata; Mammalia; Primates; Hominidae
Source: Ensembl